UUGAUCCUGGCUCAGAAUCAACGCUGGCGGCGUGCCUAACACAUGCAAGUCGAACGAGAAAGUGGAGCAAUCCAUGAGUAAAGUGGCGGCCGGGUGAGUUACACGUGACCAAUCUACCCUUGAGUGGGGGAUAACCUCGGGAAACCGGGUCUAAUACCGCAUAAUAUCCUUGGAACGGAAGUACUGGGGAUCAAAGGAGUAAUUCGCUUAAGGAGGAGGUCGCGGCUGAUUAGCUAGUUGGCGGGGUAAUGGCCCACCAAGGCAAAGAUCGGUAGCCGGCCUGAGAGGGCGCACGGCCAUACUGGAACUGAAACACGGUCCAGACUCCUACGGGAGGCAGCAGUGGGGAUUUUUGCGCAAUGGGGGAAACCCUGACGCAGCAACGCCGCGUGGAGGAUGUAGUCCCUUGGGACGUAAACUCCUUUCGACCCGGACGAUAAUGACGGUACUGGUGGAAGAAGCCCCGGCUAACUUCGUGCCAGCAGCCGCGGUAAUAAGGU
This 500-nucleotide ribosomal RNA is filed under the name uncultured Acidobacteriota bacterium. RNAcentral describes it as "bacterial SSU rRNA". It matches the Rfam family "Bacterial small subunit ribosomal RNA", at positions 13 to 529 of the family's 1533-position model. The record is from RNAcentral. Lineage: Bacteria; Pseudomonadati; Acidobacteriota.